This 427-nucleotide ribosomal RNA is filed under the name uncultured beta proteobacterium. Its description in RNAcentral is "bacterial SSU rRNA". It matches the Rfam family "Bacterial small subunit ribosomal RNA", at positions 355 to 774 of the family's 1533-position model. The record is from RNAcentral. Lineage: Bacteria; Pseudomonadati; Pseudomonadota; Betaproteobacteria.
UGGGGAAUUUUGGACAAUGGGCGAAAGCCUGAUCCAGCCAUGCCGCGUGAGUGAAGAAGGCCUUCGGGUUGUAAAGCUCUUUUAGUCGGAAAGAAAGAGUUGCAAUGAAUAAUUGUGAUUUAUGACGGUACCGACAGAAAAAGCACCGGCUAACUACGUGCCGGCAGCCGCGGUAAUACGUAGGGUGCGAGCGUUAAUCGGAAUUACUGGGCGUAAAGGGUGCGCAGGCGGUCUUGCAAGUCAGAUGUGAAAGCCCCGGGCUUAACCUGGGAAUUGCGUUUGAAACUACAAGGCUAGAGUGCAGCAGAGGGGAGUGGAAUUCCAUGUGUAGCAGUGAAAUGCGUAGAUAUGUGGAAGAACACCGAUGGCGAAGGCAGCUCCCUGGGUUGACACUGACGCUCAUGCACGAAAGCGUGGGGAGCAAACA